AUGUCUAGUAAUAAAGAUGUAGCAGUGUGUGAUGCUUGUCAGCAAGGGAAAAGUCAUCAACUUCCUUUUUCGGAGUCCAGUCGUGAGGUUAAACAUCCUUUAGAAGUCCUGCUCAGACUUCUGUCAGUGGUCACAAUUAUUAUAUCAGUUUCGUUGAUGCUUAUAGUCGCUUUACCUGGCUUUACCUUAUUAAACGCAAAUCUGAUGUGUUUGACAUUGUUGUUCAGUUCCAAAAACAUGUUGAACGCCUUCUCAAGCACAAAAUUGUUCAUGUCCAGUCGGACUGGGGGGGUGAGUAUCGCAACCUCAACUCCUUCUUUCAGUCGCUUGGGAUCGCUCACCGUUUAG
RNAcentral lists this ribosomal RNA (348 nucleotides) under Triticum aestivum (bread wheat). RNAcentral's name for it is "partial small subunit ribosomal RNA". Lineage: Eukaryota; Viridiplantae; Streptophyta; Magnoliopsida; Poales; Poaceae. The record is from RNAcentral.